Molecule: ribosomal RNA, 253 nt
Filed under: uncultured bacterium
Lineage: Bacteria
Description: partial 16S ribosomal RNA
Rfam family: Bacterial small subunit ribosomal RNA
Source: RNAcentral
UACGUAGGGUGCGAGCGUUAAUCGGAAUUACUGGGCGUAAAGCGUGCGCAGGCGGUUUUGUAAGCCAGAUGUGAAAUCCCCGGGCUCAACCUGGGAAUGGCAUUUGGGACUGCAAGGCUGGAGUUUGGCAGAGGAGACUGGAAUUCCUGGUGUAGCAGUGAAAUGCGUAGAUAUCGAGAGGAACACCGGUGGCGAAGGCGGCCAACUGGACGAAUACUGACGCUGAGACACGAAAGCGUGGGGAGCAAACAGG